Molecule: RNA transcript, 1091 nt
Organism: Aedes albopictus (Asian tiger mosquito)
Lineage: Eukaryota; Metazoa; Arthropoda; Insecta; Diptera; Culicidae
Exons: 3
Source: RefSeq, a predicted model, not a curated record
GCACACUCGAUUCAGUUUUGAAACGAGCGGCGUACAGAGUAGAGGUAGCCUAACUUUGAAUCACCCCCCGUCAUCGCUGUACUGUACUGUGCCAGAAACCAACCAACCCAAGAAUAGUGUUGUGAGAAGCUCUGGAAUCCCCCAAUUGAAAAAUCGAAAGAAUCAGUCUGGUGUUUUUUCCUUCGGUGAAACGCGACAAGUUCUGGAACACUGGAACAACCGACUGAUGAGUGAUUUUGGGACACAGAGACUGACAAACAGAAUCGUUGAUUUUGCGCGAAGUACCUACAUUGAACACUCGCAGAGUUUUUUGUUUUAUUGAUCCGUUCGUGAUUCGCUUGUUGAGCUUACCUGGCUAAUCCGUUCCGCCUCCGCGUGAUUCGAAACCCCAGCAUCUGCCUCCCUUCGAAGAGAGGUAUAUCGUCACCGAAACGCACAUCGAGAAUCCACCUUUCGUUGAAAACAAAAAGAAGAAGAGUGGUUCUUGGUAUGCGAAAAUAGAGAAGAGAAGAUCGAAGCAUAUGAAAUCGAAAGAAGAGCAAUAGCAGUGUAAAAUAGAAUACCAACGCAGUGUGAAUCGAAAAUCGUUCUUUGCAGAUUGGCAAUAGAUAGUGCAUUUUCAACACCCGAUACAAAGCAAUACAAAAAGUAAAAGUGAUCGACCAGUGAUAAGGAAAAGUAGAAGAAAUCGCUCCAACAAGUGAUUACGGUGCAUCCUGUGUGUGUCUGCGCGCGCAGAGUCCCUGUUUUCGACGUUUCGACCAAUCGAAACGAGAAUUGACCGAUCGUGGUUCGUGAGAAGAAAAAGAAAGAAGACCGAAAAUCCUAGCAGGCGUUGAACCAAACAAAAAACUGCCAUCACGAUCGCUAGAAAUCCACGGAGAAUGUCUACCGCGAUAAUGCACACCGGGGCGUUCUACGACUUUGGUGAUUUUACAUUGAAGGUAAUUUUGCGGUUUUACAAUCGGUUGGGUAAAUGGCGAAUCGGCGAAGCAAAAUCAAGUUGCUCAGCAUGGGUUUUGUAAGUUUUUCACAACGAAAAAACUCGUUUUUUGAAGGGGGUUAAAUCGUCCAUAAGAUCAUGAUCUCCU